UGAUAAUGAUGAGGGCAAUUUCUGAGCAUACUCUUAAAUCUCUCCCAAGUUUGGUAGAGAUUCUCUCCUUCUAUCUAUCUGAAACUCAAAAUCUUGCUUCUCAAAUG
This 107-nucleotide small nucleolar RNA is filed under the name Capsicum annuum. RNAcentral's name for it is "Plant small nucleolar RNA R71". It matches the Rfam family "Plant small nucleolar RNA R71". Rfam says of the family: R71 is a member of the C/D box family of snoRNAs containing the C (UGAUGA) and D (CUGA) box motifs. Multiple nearly identical copies of this snoRNA have been identified in Arabidopsis, and it is thought to function as a 2'-O-ribose methylation guide for 18S ribosomal RNA. Lineage: Eukaryota; Viridiplantae; Streptophyta; Magnoliopsida; Solanales; Solanaceae. The record is from Rfam by way of RNAcentral.